GACGAACGCUGGCGGCGUGCCUAAUACAUGCAAGUUGAGCGCUGAAGGUUGGUACUUUUACCCACUGGAUGAGCAGCGAACGGGUGAGUAACGCGUGGGGAAUCUGCCUUUGAGCGGGGGACAACAUUUGGAAACGAAUGCUAAUACCGCAUAAAAACUUUAAACACAAGUUUUAAGUUUGAAAGAUGCAAUUGCAUCACUCAAAGAUGAUCCCGCGUUGUAUUAGCUAGUUGGUGAGGUAAAGGCUCACCAAGGCGAUGAUACAUAGCCGAGCUGAGAGGGUGAUCGGCCACAUCUGGACUGAGAACAGGCCCAAACUCCCACGGGAGGCAGCAGUAGGGAAUCUUCGGACAUGGACGAAAGGCUGACCGAGCAAAGCCGCGUGAGAGAAGAAGGUUGUCGGAUCGGAAAACCCUGUUGGUAGAGAAGAACGUUGGUGAGAGUGGAAAGCUCAUCAAGUGACGGUACCUACCGAGAAAGGGACGGCUAACUACGUG
This 497-nucleotide ribosomal RNA is filed under the name uncultured bacterium. RNAcentral describes it as "partial 16S ribosomal RNA". It matches the Rfam family "Bacterial small subunit ribosomal RNA", at positions 28 to 507 of the family's 1533-position model. The record is from RNAcentral.